CAUGUGGUUUAAUUCGAUGAUACGCGAGGAACCUUACCCGGGCUUGAACUGCAGCAGUCGGAUCCAGAGAUGGUGACUCCCUUCGGGGCUGCUGUGGAGGUGCUGCAUGGUUGUCGUCAGCUCGUGCCGUGAGGUGUCGGCUUAAGUGCCAUAACGAGCGCAACCCCCGUCCCCAGUUGCCAUCGGGUAGUGCCGGGCACUCUGUGGAUACUGCCACCGCAAGGUGUGAGGAAGGUGGGGAUGACGUCAAAUCAGCACGGCCCUUACGUCCGGGGCUACACACGUGUUACAAUGGGGCAUACAGCGAGUCGGUUCAUGGUGACAUGCGCCCAAUCCUUGAAAGUGUCCCUCAGUUCGGACUGGGGUCUGCAACCCGACCCCACGAAGCUGGAUUCGCUAGUAAUCGCGCAUCAGCCAUGGCGCGGUGAAUACGUUCCCGGGCCUUGUACACACCGCCCGUCAAGCCAU
This 468-nucleotide ribosomal RNA is filed under the name uncultured Bacteroidota bacterium. RNAcentral describes it as "bacterial SSU rRNA". It matches the Rfam family "Bacterial small subunit ribosomal RNA", at positions 938 to 1405 of the family's 1533-position model. Lineage: Bacteria; Pseudomonadati; Bacteroidota. The record is from RNAcentral.